This 395-nucleotide long non-coding RNA is filed under the name Manihot esculenta (cassava). RNAcentral describes it as "long non-coding RNA (MESC_LNC011617)". Lineage: Eukaryota; Viridiplantae; Streptophyta; Magnoliopsida; Malpighiales; Euphorbiaceae. The record is from RNAcentral.
UGUCUUUUAUGCUUUAAAUAAAUAAAUCAGUUUUAGCAUGAUUUACGCAUCAUGAAUGCCAUGAGAUAUAAUAGGAUGCUUGCAUUAGAAUCACGAAUAUGUUGCAUUGCAUAUUAUGUUUGAUGAUGUGGAUGAAUGUUGAAUGAUCCUUUAGUCCCCAUAUGUUAUGAUGAUGAUGAUACGGCACGGAAGACCAGUGAGGCCCAUUCUACGCCCCUGGCACCAUGUAAGAGAAAGACCAGUGAGGCCCAUUCUACGCCCCUGGCACAGUUGGUCCAUGUUAUGUUAUGUUAUGUAAGAGAAAGACCAGUGAGGCCCAUUCUACGCCCCUGGCACAGUUGGUCCAUGUUAUGUUAUGUUAUGUAAGAGAAAGACCAGUGAGGCCCAUUCUACGC